RNAcentral lists this ribosomal RNA (459 nucleotides) under uncultured bacterium. Its description in RNAcentral is "partial 16S ribosomal RNA". It matches the Rfam family "Bacterial small subunit ribosomal RNA", at positions 338 to 795 of the family's 1533-position model. The record is from RNAcentral.
CCUACGGGAGGCAGCAGUGAGGAAUAUUGGUCAAUGGGCGCGAGCCUGAACCAGCCAAGUCGCGUGAAGGAAGACGGUCCUAUGGAUUGUAAACCUCUUUUGUCUGGGAGCAAAAGACGCCACGCGUGGCGUUCCGUGUGUACCAUAUGAAUAAGCAUCGGCUAACUCCGUGCCAGCAGCCGCGGUAAUACGGAGGAUGCGAGCGUUAUCCGGAUUAAUUGGGUUUAAAGGGAGCGCAGGCGGGAGAUCAAGUCAGCGGUAAAAUUGGGAGGCUCAACCUCAUAGAGCCGUUGAAACUGGUUUUUUUGAGUGAGUGAGAGGUAUGCGGAAUGCGUGGUGUAGCGGUGAAAUGCAUAGAUAUCACGAAGAACUCCGAUUGCGAAGGCAGCAUACCGGCGCUCAACUGACGCUCAUGCACGAAAGUGUGGGUAUCGAACAGGAUUAGAUACCCUUGUAGUC